Molecule: ribosomal RNA, 443 nt
Filed under: uncultured bacterium
Lineage: Bacteria
Description: partial 16S ribosomal RNA
Rfam family: Bacterial small subunit ribosomal RNA
Source: RNAcentral
CCUACGGGUGGCAGCAGUGGGGAAUAUUGGGCAAUGGAGGCAACUCUGACCCAGCAACGCCGCGUGAAUGAUGACGGUCUUCGGAGUGUAAAGUUCUGUGAUGGGGGAUGAACACAAUGACGGGACCCCAAUAGCAAGCCACGGCUACUAACGUGCCAGCAGCCGCGGUAAUACGUAGGUCGCAAGCGUUAUCCGGAAUGACUGGGCGUAAAGGGUGCGUAGGUGGUUUAGUAAGUUGGCGGUGUAAUUCCGGGGCUCAACCUCGGCGCUACCGCCAAAACUAUUAGACUAGAGAGCAGGGGGGGUAAGUGGAAUUCCUGGUGUAGCGGUGGAAUGCGUAGAGAUUAGGAAGAACAUCAGGGGCGAAGGCGACUUACUGGACUGUAACUGACACUGAGGCACGAAAGCGUGGGGAGCAAACAGGAUUAGAUACCCUUGUAGUC